Molecule: ribosomal RNA, 457 nt
Filed under: uncultured bacterium
Lineage: Bacteria
Description: bacterial SSU rRNA
Rfam family: Bacterial small subunit ribosomal RNA
Source: RNAcentral
GGCAGCAGUGGGGAAUAUUGCACAAUGGGGGGAAACCCUGAUGCAGCCAUGCCGCGUGUGUGAAGAAGGCCUUCGGGUUGUAAAGCACUUUCAGUAGGGAGGAAGGUAGUGUAGUUAACACCUGCACUAUUUGACGUUACCUACAGAAGAAGCACCGGCUAACUCCGUGCCAGCAGCCGCGGUAAUACGGAGGGUGCGAGCGUUAAUCGGAAUUACUGGGCGUAAAGCGCAUGCAGGCGGCCUGUUAAGUCAGAUGUGAAAGCCCGGGGCUUAACCUCGGAAUUGCAUUUGAAACUGGCAGGCUAGAGUCUUGUAGAGGGGGGUAGAAUUUCAGGUGUAGCGGUGAAAUGCGUAGAGAUCUGAAGGAAUACCAGUGGCGAAGGCCGGCCCCCUGGACAAAGACUGACGCUCAGAUGCGAAAGCGUGGGGAGCAAACAGGAUUAGAUACCCCUGGUAG